This 253-nucleotide ribosomal RNA is filed under the name uncultured bacterium. RNAcentral's name for it is "partial 16S ribosomal RNA". It matches the Rfam family "Bacterial small subunit ribosomal RNA", at positions 524 to 776 of the family's 1533-position model. The record is from RNAcentral.
UACAGAGGGGGCAAGCGUUGUUCGGAAUUACUGGGCGUAAAGGGCGCGUAGGCGGCCUGUUAAGUCGAACGUGAAAUCCCCGGGCUCAACCCGGGAACUGCGUCCGAUACUGGCAGGCUUGAAUUCGGGAGAGGGAUGCGGAAUUCCAGGUGUAGCGGUGAAAUGCGUAGAUAUCUGGAGGAACACCGGUGGCGAAGGCGGCAUCCUGGACCGGUAUUGACACUGAGGCGCGAAAGCCAGGGGAGCAAACGGG